AACGUUCCGGCCCUCGGCACGUCCCGACCUCUUCACCGGGGGAGCGGCGUGCCGGAGUCACCGUCACCACAUGUGAAACUUCUACCUUUGCUUCGGCAGCACCGAGCGGGAGACCGCGAGGGUAAGGCUGUCGGAAGCCCACCGCAAAACCAGUCGAUGAAAUGUCAUGCUGUCUGAUACACACUCUUUAUUUGAGAAAUCAAGUAAUGUCAUUA
RNAcentral lists this unclassified non-coding RNA (215 nucleotides) under uncultured Orbiliales. RNAcentral's name for it is "sequence contains ITS1". The record is from RNAcentral. Lineage: Eukaryota; Fungi; Ascomycota; Orbiliomycetes; Orbiliales.